ACUCUCCCGCACCAUGCAGCAAUAAACAUCCAUCGCCCUUUUUAAAAAUUCAUUUCUUCGGGUUUUCAUCAUAAGUGUAAACAUCCAUUCUUAAAAUGAUCCCUCCUCCCGUAUAAACAGGUGGAUAUGAACACUAUGAAAUUGGGAUCAUGCUGUACAGAGUAUCAUAAACGGGCAUUUUGUUACAAUUAUAAGAGGCAGGCAUCUUCUGGUGUCGUAUAUAGAUUGGACCAUAGUGGCACAUGUCCUGGUUGUAUGGCUCUGCUCCUUAUUUAUUUAUUUUUUUUUAGAGAUUUUAUUUAUUUAUUCAUGAGAGAUACACAGAGAGAGAGACAGGCAGAGGCACAGGCAGAGGGAGAGGCAGGCUCCAUGCAGGGAGCCGGACGUGGGACUCGAUCCCCGGUCUCCAGGAUCACACCCUGGGCUGCAGGCGGCGCUAAACCACUACUCCACCAGGGCUGCACGGCUCUAUUCUUUAAUCUGGCUCCUGUUCUCAGGUAAAUUACUUAAGGGUAGGACUAUCCCUUUGGGGACUCAAGGGGACUCAAUCCCCUUGAAGGCCCAUUUGCUCUAGAACACUGUGGUAAUUAUGUGUCAUUUAAAAUAUUUGAUUAAAAGCACUUCGCUGACAUUCUGUCCAACCUCCUCUGUUAACCAAGUUCAUAUUACAGUGUCCUCAAAAACAAUAAAGCUGACAUAAAGCACUUAUCUAAUGAGUAUUCCAAUUAGCCCUAUACUAACUUUGUUUUAUUCCUACUUAGCCAGAGUGGGUGUUCCUGGAUAGGCACCAGUCUGAAAAAGUUGAAUCCUGGAGAGGAGGUGACCUGCCUAAGGUCUUACAAUUCAGUUAUGGCUGAUGAACAUAUCUUGAACAUCUAUCACCCACAGGACUCCAAAUAUGAAUAUUGCUGUCCAGAUGCUGCCAGCUUUUAUCACGUGACAUUAAAACCAGAUAUCUGAGCCAGACUUAUCAAGUUUUAACCUUCUACAAAACUGCACAAAGCCAUGGAACGAGGACCAGCCACUAGCGUGGCCUUUAGGUCGGAACGAAGAGUAGAGCAUCUGUGACAGAAUGAAAAUGAAUGGAACAUGAAUCAUCUGAAAGCACUGCUCGGCCUCAGAUGAACUCUAAUAGUAUUGACUCACUAACCUAUAUUCUCCUCUGCUUACUCCAUUAGCUCGCUUCGGUGACAUGGCAUGUUAAAUAACCAAGAUCCUCGAUAUAAACCACUUCAUUUAAAA
Canis lupus familiaris (dog) is the source of this 1242-nucleotide long non-coding RNA. RefSeq lists it as uncharacterized. The record is from RefSeq and is a predicted model, not a curated record. Lineage: Eukaryota; Metazoa; Chordata; Mammalia; Carnivora; Canidae. The transcript is spliced from 2 exons.